AGCGAACGCUGGCGGCGUACUUAACACAUGCAAGUCGAACGAGGAUCAUCGGGUUAGCAAUAAUUCGGUGGUCCUAGUGGCGCACGGGUGAGUAACACGUGGGUGACCUGCCCUUGAGCUCGGGGAUACCCCCUCGAAAGGGGGGCUAAUACCGGAUACGUUCCUCGGUCGAAAGACUGAGGAGGAAAGGUGGCGCAAGCUGCCGCUCUUGGAGGGGCUCGCGGCCUAUCAGCUAGNGGCGGGGUAACGGCCCACCAAGGCUAUGACGGGUAGCUGGUCUGAGAGGACGACCAGCCACACGGGGACUGAGACACGGCCCGACUCCUACGGGAGGCAGCAGUGGGGAAUUUUCCGCAAUGGGCGAAAGCCUGACGGAGUGACGCCGCGUGUGGGAC
This 395-nucleotide ribosomal RNA is filed under the name uncultured bacterium. Its description in RNAcentral is "bacterial SSU rRNA". It matches the Rfam family "Bacterial small subunit ribosomal RNA", at positions 30 to 409 of the family's 1533-position model. The record is from RNAcentral.